This 452-nucleotide ribosomal RNA is filed under the name uncultured Eubacteriales bacterium. Its description in RNAcentral is "bacterial SSU rRNA". It matches the Rfam family "Bacterial small subunit ribosomal RNA", at positions 933 to 1382 of the family's 1533-position model. The record is from RNAcentral. Lineage: Bacteria; Bacillati; Bacillota; Clostridia; Eubacteriales.
CGGAGCAUGUGGUUUAAUUCGAAGCAACGCGAAGAACCUUACCAGGGCUUGACAUGCCGCUGACCGGUGCAGAGAUGCAUCUUUAUCCUUCGGGGUACAGCGGACACAGGUGGUGCAUGGUUGUCGUCAGCUCGUGUCGUGAGAUGUUGGGUUAAGUCCCGCAACGAGCGCAACCCUUGUCUUUAGUUGCCAUCAUUAAGUUGGGCACUCUAAAGAGACUGCCGAUGACAAAUCGGAGGAAGGUGGGGAUGACGUCAAAUCAUCAUGCCCUUUAUGUCCUGGGCUACACACGUGCUACAAUGGUCGGUACAACGAGAAGCAAGUCAGCGAUGGCAAGCAAAUCUCUAAAAGCCGAUCCCAGUUCGGAUUGCAGGCUGCAACUCGCCUGCAUGAAGUCGGAAUCGCUAGUAAUCGCAGGUCAGCAUACUGCGGUGAAUACGUUCCCGGGCCUU